This 481-nucleotide long non-coding RNA is filed under the name Sinocyclocheilus anshuiensis. Its description in RNAcentral is "lncRNA (ENSSANG00000045329.1)". The record is from RNAcentral. Lineage: Eukaryota; Metazoa; Chordata; Actinopteri; Cypriniformes; Cyprinidae.
CAAAUUCUGCCUACUUUACAAUUCAUCCUCCUCUUCUACACGUUUGGAGCUGCUAGUGAAGCAGGGUUGAUCAUGAUUGUCGUUUUACCAGUGUUACUGAUGAUGAUGACAAAUGACAGAUGGAUUUAUAAAUGCUAUUCCAGUCAGGGGCUCAACUUAUCAUAUUCAGUCAUGAGGACAGUGAUGUUAAUCUUCACAUUAGUGACGAAUGCAGUGAUGAUCGGCCUUUACAUAUUGACUCUGGACAAUCAGACAGAUCCGAUCGGAUGGGGCUGUGUGAUGGUGUUUCUGCAGAUACUCUGGACAGUUAUGUUCUUCACAGAUGAUACUUACUCUUUUCUCAGCUUGUCUCGAGAUUUCCAGCGUUAUGUUGCGGUGUAUGUGUUUGGAUCAGUCGGUGUAGUUUUACUGAACUCUGCUGCAUUAAUAACAGAACUGAUCCUCAAAACAGGUGAGUGAACAACACUCUUUAAUAUACAGG